GGGACCAAGGAGGGGAAAGACAGGGCAAAGGCCUCAGAUCUGCAGCCAGGACACCUACGACAGAGCCCCCUGAGGAAGCAGUUUCAACAGAAAAAUGAGGGUGAAACCAGAACAGAAAAUUCUACUGGACAGAGCGAGGACCCCACCACAGUUUCUUAUGGGAAGGAUGACCCAUAUGGUGGAGUAAGGGUUGGGGCGGAUUAAGGAAGGACCAAAGACGCUGGAGAAGAGGAAUAACAAACGCAGCCAGUUCCCAAAAGAGGGCACCUAAGAGGUUUUAACCUGUGCAUCUUAAGAAGCCAUUCUCCGGACCACCGACUGCUUGCUCCAUAAUCUUCCAGACAACGAUAACAUUUCUUAUCACUUUAGGAGCCAAUUAAUGGAAACCCCUCCUAGAAUAAACAUGGUUAAGCUUUGCAUCU
Molecule: long non-coding RNA, 422 nt
Organism: Symphalangus syndactylus (siamang)
Lineage: Eukaryota; Metazoa; Chordata; Mammalia; Primates; Hylobatidae
Source: RefSeq, a predicted model, not a curated record